GGGAUAAGCCUGGGAAACUGGGUCUAAUACCGGAUAUGACCACGAAUCGCAUGGUUUGUGGUGGAAAGAUUUAUCGGUGCGAGAUGGGCCCGCGGCCUAUCAGCUUGUUGGUGGGGUAAUGGCCUACCAAGGCGACGACGGGUAGCCGGCCUGAGAGGGCGACCGGCCACACUGGGACUGAGACACGGCCCAGACUCCUACGGGAGGCAGCAGUGGGGAAUAUUGCACAAUGGGCGGAAGCCUGAUGCAGCGACGCCGCGUGAGGGAUGACGGCCUUCGGGUUGUAAACCUCUUUCGACAGGGACGAAGCGCAAGUGACGGUACCUGUAGAAGAAGCACCGGCCAACUACGUGCCAGCAGCCGCGGUAAUACGUAGGGUGCGAGCGUUGUCCGGAAUUACUGGGCGUAAAGAGCUUGUAGGCGGUUCGUCGCGUCGAUCGUGAAAACUUGCAGCUCAACUGCGAGCUUGCGGUCGAUACGGGCGGACUAGAGUACUGCAGGGGAGACUGGAAUUCCUGGUGUAGCGGUGAAAUGCGCAGAUAUCAGGAGGAACACCGGUGGCGAAGGCGGGUCUCUGGGCAGUAACUGACGCUGAGAAGCGAAAGCGUGGGUAGCGAACAGGAUUAGAUACCCUGGUAGUCCACGCCGUAAACGGUGGGCGCUAGGUGUGGGUUUCCUUCCACGGGAUCCGUGCCGUAGCUAACGCAUUAAGCGCCCCGCCUGGGGAGUACGGCCGCAAGGCUAAAACUCA
This 751-nucleotide ribosomal RNA is filed under the name Nocardia africana. RNAcentral's name for it is "bacterial SSU rRNA". It matches the Rfam family "Bacterial small subunit ribosomal RNA", at positions 140 to 903 of the family's 1533-position model. Lineage: Bacteria; Bacillati; Actinomycetota; Actinomycetes; Mycobacteriales; Nocardiaceae. The record is from RNAcentral.